Long non-coding RNA from Gasterosteus aculeatus aculeatus (three-spined stickleback), 464 nucleotides. Lineage: Eukaryota; Metazoa; Chordata; Actinopteri; Perciformes; Gasterosteidae. The record is from Ensembl.
GCGGCAUUCAGUGCACAGACAGCAGGACGUCACAUGUAGUGUUGCAGGAGACCAGAACAAGGCCAUUCAUAAAGCACAUGAAAGGGAUUACGAGCGGCUUUACAAUCAAUGCUUAAUAAAACCAGAUUAGCGGAAACGUCGAGCGCGGAUCCAUUUCAGCCGAAGGUUCCGCUCUCUGGAAGCCGUCCAAUCCCCCGUCAGUCUGACUAAGCUGCAGAGGGUUAGAUUGGAGUGGGGAUGUGCUCACCAGCUGUGAGAUUAGGGGGAACUGAUCGAUGGCCUCUGUGAUUGGCCCUCGCCGGCGUCACAGCGGCAUCCAAUCCCCUUGGUUCGGAUGGUUUUCCUCGACCCAGCCAAAACCAAUUCUCCCUCCGCCAAGGGGAGGGGGGGCGAAUAAGAUCACUGACCUGAAGCUGCGAGGCCACGCUUGCAGGUUCUGUCCCCCUCCUUCCUCUGACCAGAAA